Molecule: ribosomal RNA, 350 nt
Filed under: uncultured bacterium
Lineage: Bacteria
Description: bacterial SSU rRNA
Rfam family: Bacterial small subunit ribosomal RNA
Source: RNAcentral
GAGGAAUAUUGGACAAUGGACGAAAGUCUGAUCCAGCUAUGCCGCGUGCAGGAUGACGGCCCUAUGGGUUGUAAACUGCUUUUAUACAGGAAGAAAAACUCCGACGUGUCGGAACUUGACGGUACUGUAAGAAUAAGGAUCGGCUAACUCCGUGCCAGCAGCCGCGGUAAUACGGAGGAUCCAAGCGUUAUCCGGAAUCAUUGGGUUUAAAGGGUCCGUAGGCGGUUUUUUAAGUCAGAGGUGAAAUCCUGCAGCUCAACUGUAGAAUUGCCUUUGAUACUGAAAGACUUGAGUUAUUGUGAAGUGGUUAGAAUGUGUGGUGUAGCGGUGAAAUGCAUAGAUAUCACACA